GACGAACGCUGGCGGCGUGCUUAACACAUGCAAGUCGAGCGGUAAGGCCCUUUCGGGGGUACACGAGCGGCGAACGGGUGAGUAACACGUGGGUGACCUGCCCUCAGCUCUGGGAUAAGCCUGGGAAACCGGGUCUAAUACUGGAUAUGACUCCAUGACGCAUGUUGUGGGGUGGAAAGCCUUGUGCGGCUGAGGAUGGGCCCGCGGCCUAUCAGCUUGUUGGUGGGGUGAGGCCUACCAAGGCGACGACGGGUAGCCGGCCUGAGAGGGCGACCGGCCACACUGGGACUGAGACACGGCCCAGACUCCUACGGGAGGCAGCAGUGGGGAAUCUUGCGCAAUGGGCGAAAGCCUGACGCAGCGACGCCGCGUGAGGGAUGAAGGCC
Molecule: ribosomal RNA, 386 nt
Filed under: uncultured bacterium
Lineage: Bacteria
Description: bacterial SSU rRNA
Rfam family: Bacterial small subunit ribosomal RNA
Source: RNAcentral